UGGGGAAUUUUGGACAAUGGGGGGAACCCUGAUCCAGCAAUGCCGCGUGAGUGAAGAAGGCCUUCGGGUUGUAAAGCUCUUUUGUCGGGGAAGAAAAGGCUGAUGCGAAUAGUGUCAGCUGCUGACGGUACCCGAAGAAUAAGCACCGGCUAACUACGUGCCAGCAGCCGCGGUAAUACGUAGGGUGCGAGCGUUAAUCGGAAUUACUGGGCGUAAAGGGUGCGCAGGCGGUGUAUUAAGUCUGACGUGAAAUCCCCGGGCUCAACCUGGGAAUGGCGUUGGAGACUGGUACGCUUGAGUGUGUCAGAGGGGGGUAGAAUUCCACGUGUAGCAGUGAAAUGCGUAGAUAUGUGGAGGAAUACCGAUGGCGAAGGCAGCCUCCUGGGAUAACACUGACGCU
This 400-nucleotide ribosomal RNA is filed under the name uncultured bacterium. Its description in RNAcentral is "bacterial SSU rRNA". It matches the Rfam family "Bacterial small subunit ribosomal RNA", at positions 355 to 747 of the family's 1533-position model. The record is from RNAcentral.